This 255-nucleotide ribosomal RNA is filed under the name uncultured bacterium. Its description in RNAcentral is "partial 16S ribosomal RNA". It matches the Rfam family "Bacterial small subunit ribosomal RNA", at positions 524 to 777 of the family's 1533-position model. The record is from RNAcentral.
GACGGAGGAUGCAAGUGUUAUCCGGAAUUACUGGGCGUAAAGCGUGCGUAGGUGGUGAGUUAAGUCUGAUGUGAAAUCCCCGGGCUCAACCUGGGAAUGGCAUUGGAUACUGGCUCGCUAGAGUGCGGUAGAGGGUGGUGGAAUUCCCGGUGUAGCAGUGAAAUGCGUAGAGAUCGGGAGGAACAUCUGUGGCGAAGGCGGCCACCUGGACCAACACUGACACUGAGGCACGGAAAGCGUGGGGAGCAAACAGGG